GUGGAUUAGAUACCCUGGUAGUCCACGCCCUAAACGAUGCUCACUAGGUGUUGGGGAAGCGAUUCCUUGGUACCGUAGCUAACGCGUGAAGUGAGCCGCCUGGGGAGUACGGCCGCAAGGUUAAAACUCAAAGGAAUUGACGGGGACCCGCACAAGCGGUGGAUGAUGUGGAUUAAUUCGAUGCAACGCGAACAACCUUACCUACCCUUGACAUGUCUGGAAGCCUGCUGAAAGGCGGGUGUGCCUGAAAGGGAACCGGAACACAGGUGCUGCACGGCCGUCGUCAGCU
RNAcentral lists this ribosomal RNA (289 nucleotides) under uncultured bacterium. Its description in RNAcentral is "partial 16S ribosomal RNA". It matches the Rfam family "Bacterial small subunit ribosomal RNA", at positions 773 to 1060 of the family's 1533-position model. The record is from RNAcentral.